CUACGGGCGGCUGCAGUGAGGAAUUUUGCGCAAUGGGGGAAACCCUGACGCAGCAACGCCGCGUGAGCGAAGAAGGCCUUCGGGUCGUAAAGCUCCGUCAAGUGGGAAAAAAAUUCUUUGAUGAACAGUCAAAGGACUUGAUGGUACCACUGGAGGAAGCACCGGCUAACUCCGUGCCAGCAGCCGCGGUAAUACGGAGGGUGCAAGCGUUGUUCGGAAUUACUGGGCGUAAAGAGCGUGUAGGCGGUUUGACAAGUCAGAUGUGAAAGCCCCGGGCUCAACCCGGGAAGUGCAUUUGAAACUGUUUCACUAGAGUAUGGGAGAGGAGAUUGGAAUUCCUGGUGUAGAGGUGACAUUCGUAGAUAUCAGGAGGAACACCCGUGGCGAAGGCGAUUCUCUGGACCAAUACUGACGCUGAGACGCGAAAGCGUGGGGAGCAAACAGGAUUAGAUACCCUAGUAGUC
RNAcentral lists this ribosomal RNA (464 nucleotides) under uncultured bacterium. RNAcentral describes it as "partial 16S ribosomal RNA". It matches the Rfam family "Bacterial small subunit ribosomal RNA", at positions 339 to 795 of the family's 1533-position model. The record is from RNAcentral.